This 464-nucleotide ribosomal RNA is filed under the name uncultured bacterium. RNAcentral's name for it is "partial 16S ribosomal RNA". It matches the Rfam family "Bacterial small subunit ribosomal RNA", at positions 339 to 795 of the family's 1533-position model. The record is from RNAcentral.
CUACGGGUCGCACCAGUGGGGAAUAUUGCGCAAUGGGCGAAAGCCUGACGCAGCCAUGCCGCGUGUGUGAAGAAGGCCUUCGGGUUGUAAAGCACUUUCAAUUGGGAGGAAAGGUUCAAGCUUAAUACGCCUGAGCUGUGACGUUACCUUUAGAAGAAGCACCGGCUAACUCCGUGCCAGCAGCCGCGGUAAUACGGAGGGUGCAAGCGCUAAUCGGAAUGACUGGGCGUAAAGCGCGCGUAGGCGGCUUGUUAAGUCGGAGGUGAAAGCCCCGGGCUCAACCUGGGAACUGCAACCGAUACUGGCAAGCUAGAAUGCGAGAGAGGGGGGUAGAAUUCCAUGUGUAGCGGUGAAAUGCGUAGAUAUAUGGAGGAAUACCAGUGGCGAAGGCGGCCCCCUGGCUCGACAUUGACGCUGAGGUGCGAAAGCGUGGGGAGCAAACAGGAUUAGAUACCCGGGUAGUC